CUUUACAAAAUGUGAUAUUUAUUAUUUUACAGAGGAAGUAUAAUUUUGAAUUUUUUUUUAUUAUCUUAAGUAAGAUGAUCCAAUCCAUUUUUUAUUACAACAUAGACUAAAGAAAAUAAAUGGAGUCAGGAGCUUAUUCUAAGAAUAAAGUCAUGGAAAUGGCCAUGGGAGCUUUGUGGAAAACUACACAGAUGGAUUGGGAUGAAUUCAGAGCGACCUUCCGAAUUGAGGACGAUGAAUUCAGAGCGACCUUCCGAAUUGAGGACGAUGAAUUCAGAGCGACCUUCCGAAUUGAGGACACACAGGAACAUACAAGAUCUAAAAGCUGUAGGAAUAAGACUUAAGUCAAGCAAUACACCAAGCCCAAAAGAC
RNAcentral lists this long non-coding RNA (372 nucleotides) under Medicago truncatula (barrel medic). RNAcentral's name for it is "long non-coding RNA (MTRU_LNC005154)". The record is from RNAcentral. Lineage: Eukaryota; Viridiplantae; Streptophyta; Magnoliopsida; Fabales; Fabaceae.